This 386-nucleotide ribosomal RNA is filed under the name Telonemia sp. RNAcentral describes it as "partial small subunit ribosomal RNA". It matches the Rfam family "Eukaryotic small subunit ribosomal RNA", at positions 582 to 975 of the family's 1831-position model. The record is from RNAcentral. Lineage: Eukaryota; Telonemia.
AUUCCAGCUCCAAUAGCGUAUAUUAAAGUUGUUGCAGUUAAAAAGCUCGUAGUUGGAGUUCAGAGUGAGCUCAAUCGGUCGGGAUUAUGUCUCAGAACUGGUUGACUCUCUCUUGUUUGUGGAUCCUGUUCGGAGUUAACUCUUCGGAUGUGGAGUCCACAUCGUUUACCUUGAAAGAAUUAGAGUGUUCAAAGCAGGCGUUUGCUUGAAUAUAUUAGCAUGGAAUAAUGGAAUAGGACGCUGGUUCUAUUUUGUUGGUUUUGAGAACCAGAGUAAUGAUUAAUAGGGACAGUUGGGGGCAUUCAUAUUUCAUUGUCAGAGGUGAAAUUCUUGGAUUUAUGAAAGAUGAACUUCUGCGAAAGCAUUUGCCGAGGAUGUUUUCAUCA